Molecule: ribosomal RNA, 467 nt
Filed under: uncultured bacterium
Lineage: Bacteria
Description: partial 16S ribosomal RNA
Rfam family: Bacterial small subunit ribosomal RNA
Source: RNAcentral
GACGAACGCUGGCGGCGUGCUUAACACAUGCAAGUCGAACGGAAAGGCCCUGCUUUUGUGGGGUGCUCGAGUGGCGAACGGGUGAGUAACACGUGAGUAACCUGCCCUUGACUUUGGGAUAACUUCAGGAAACUGGGGCUAAUACCGGAUAGGAGCUCCUGCUGCAUGGUGGGGGUUGGAAAGUUUCGGCGGUUGGGGAUGGACUCGCGGCUUAUCAGCUUGUUGGUGGGGUAGUGGCUUACCAAGGCUUUGACGGGUAGCCGGCCUGAGAGGGUGACCGGCCACCUUGGGACUGAGAUACGGCCCAGACUCCUACGGGAGGCAGCAGUGGGGAAUAUUGCACAAUGGGCGGAAGCCUGAUGCAGCAACGCCGCGUGCGGGAGGACGGCCUUCGGGUUGUAAACCGCUUUCGCCUGUGACGAAGCGUGAGUGACGGUAAUGGGGAAAGAAGCACCGGCUAACUACGU